This 5815-nucleotide long non-coding RNA is filed under the name Homo sapiens (human). RNAcentral describes it as "HSALNT0385685". Lineage: Eukaryota; Metazoa; Chordata; Mammalia; Primates; Hominidae. The record is from RNAcentral.
CUUUCCACCCGAGCGCGAGGUAGACGCCGGGGCCACCCGCAGCACGCAGAGCUUCUGGGAGCCGGUGGCAAGGCCGAAUUGGGAUGCAAACCAAAUGGACGUGGGUGACUGGCAGAAAACGCCUCCCACAAAUGGGAGGGAUUUCGGAGGGAACCGAAAGAAAGUUGACACUCAGGGACCACAGUCUCCACCAUCUUAUAGAGGCACUUCCUUGAACAUGUGGUCCUCUCAGCGCCUGCAGCAGAAGAGAGCACUGGAGAGUGCCUGUCCUUGGAAUUAGUUCUUCUUCCCUAAUUAGAGUACCUCCUAACAUGGUGCCUUCACCCUUCAGCCCAAUAAGUGUUCACAAAACUGACCAGACCACGGAAAUUCCUUCUCCUUGGGCAACUGAAGAAGAGGAUAAAGAGAAAGAAAGGAGGCUUGAAUGUUUUCCUUUCAAGGCAAUAUGUUACUUACUUAAUAUUAGAAUUAACUAAUUAAAAAACCUCUUAGCUUCUCCUAUGGGCAGACAUUCUUCAAAGUUACCAUAUCAGGACUGGAGGCAAAUAAUAAAUAUCUAAUGGUACAACAGGCCACAGUUUUUACUAUCCUAGUGAAAUCUGCAUACUUUCAAAAUUAAAUCUGCUUGAUUCCACCCACUAGAGUUUGCAGGUAACAACAAUGACAUAAUGAUGAUGUCGACAGCAAUGGGUCUUGCUGAUUCAGUGCUUACUAUUACCUGUCACAAUACUAACUGCAAUGUACUGCUCAUUUCUCACAACAAACCAGAGGAUGAGAUGUUAUUCCUCUCCAUUUUGUAGAUAAGCUGACUGGGGUACAGAGAGGUAAAGCGGCUUACCUAAAGACACACAGCAAGUGACAGGCAAGGCCAGUUCUGCCUGGACUCACAGUCCCAGUUUCUUCUUUUGCCUCCUUGAUGAAAGCAUCACUUUGAGGAAAGGCAAGGUUUUCCUAAGUUUACCUAGAAGAGGUUUGCAUUUGAAACUUCUAUAAUAAUAAUUUUAAUAAUAUUCAUAAAAAACAUAUCAUCCUAGUACUUAAUAAUAUACAUACUUACCAUGUAUCAGAUGCUGUUCUAAGUACUUUACAUAUUUCCGUUCAUUGAAUCCUCACAACAGCACUGUGAGACAGGUACUAUUAUUAUUCCCAUUCUUCAGAUGAAGCCACUGAGGCACAAGGUUAAGUAACUUGAAGUUUUAUACCUAAUAAAUUAAGUCUGGUUUGAAUUGUCCGAACUGUCUGACAGUUAGACAUACUGACAAUUAUAACUAUUCUAUGUAUAAGUAAAUAAAACUAUACAGGCAUGCCUCAUUUUAUUAUGCCUCAAGAUACUGCAUUUUUUUUACAGAUUAAAGGUUUGCGGCAACCCUGGGUUGAGCAAGUCUAUCAGUGCCAUUUUCCCAACGGCAUGUACUUGCUUUGUCUUUGUGUUACAUUUGGAUAAUUCUCAUAAUAAUUCAAAUGUUUCCAUUAUUAUUAUAUCUGUUAUGGUGAUCUGUGAUCAGUGAUCCUUGAUGUUACUAUUGUAAUGGUUUUAGGGCUCCAUAAACUGCACCCAGAUGAGAGGAAGAACUUUGAUAAGUGAGUGUGUUCCGACUGCUCCACCAAUCAGCUAUUCCCCUGUCUCUCUUCUCCUUGGGCCUCUCUAUUCCCUGAGACACAAUAUUGAAAUUAGGCCAAUUAAUAACACUACAAUAGCCUCUAAGUGUUCUAGUGAAAGGAGUAAUUUUGCAUCUCUCACUUUCAAUUAAAAGCUAGAGACGAUUGAGCUCAGUGAGGAAGGCAUGUUGAAAGCCGAGAUGGGCCAAAAGCUAGGUCUCUUGUGCCAACCGUUAACCAAGUUGUGAAUGCAGAAGAAAAGUUCUUGAAGGAAAUUAAAAGUGCUGCUCCAGUGAAUGCAUGAAAAAUAAGAAAGUGAAACAGCCUUAUUGCUGAUAUGAAGACAGUUUUAGUAAUCUGUAUAGAAGAUAAAACUAGCCACGACAUUCCCUUAAGCCAAAGCCUAAUCCAGUGUAAGGCCCUAACUCUCCUCAAUUCUGUAAAGGUUGAGAGAGGUGAGGAAGCUGCAGAAUAAAAGUUGGAAGCUAGCAGAGCCUGGUUCAGGAGGUUAUAAAAGAUGCGAUCUCCAUAAUAUAAAAGUGCAGGGUGAAGCAGCAAGUGCUGGUGGAGAAGCUGCUGCAAGUUAUCUAGAAGAUCUAGCUAAGAUCAAUGAUGAAAGUGGCUACACUAAACAACAGAUUUUUGAUAUAGGUGAAAUGGCCUUCAGAAAAAGGAAAAAGAUCAGAUGGAAGAAGGUGCCAUCUUUCAUAGCUAGAAAGGAGAAGUCAAUGCCUGGCUUCAAAGCUUCAAAGGACAGGCUGAAUCUCUUAUUAGGGGCAAGUGCAGCUGAUGACUUUAAGUUGAAGCCAGUGCUCAUUUACCAUUCCCCAAAUCCUAGGGCCCUUAAGAAACAUUUUAAAUCACUUCUGCUUAUGCUCUAUAAAUGGAACAACAUAGCCUGGAUGGCAGCACAUCUCUUUAUAGCAUGGUUUACUGAAUAUUUUAAACCCAUUUUUGAGACCUACUGCUUAGAAAAAAGUCUUUUCAAAUUUUAUUGCUCACUACAAAUAAUAACAAUAAAUAAAAAAUAAAAAGGCUGGGUGCAGUGGCUCAUACCUGUAAUCCCAGCACUUUGGGAGGCCAAGGUGGAAGGAUGACUUGAGUCCAGGAAUUCAAGACCAGCUUGGGCAACGUAGGGAGACCCUGUUUCUACAAAAUAAUAAUAAAAAAAUUUACUGCUUAUUGACCAAUGCACCUGGUCACCCAAGAGCUCUGAUGGAGGUGCACAAGGAGAUUAACGUAGUUUUCAUACCUGAUAACACAGUUCUGCAACUGACAAAUCAAGGGGUAAUUUUGGCUUUAAAGGCUAUAGCUGCCAUAGACAAUGAUUCCUCUGUUGGAUCUGGGCAAAAUGAAUUGAAAGUCUUCCGGAAAAGAUUCACCAUUCUAGAUGUCAUUAAGAACACUUGUGAUUCACAACAUUAACAGGAGUUUGGAGGAAGUUGAUUUCAACCGACAUGGAUGACUUUGAAGGGCUUAAGAUUUCAGUGAAAGAAGUCACUCCAGAUGUGCUAUAAAUAGCAAGAUAAUUAGAAUUAGAAGUGAAGCCUGAAGAUGUAAUUGAACUGUUGCAAUCUCAUAAAACUUGAAUGGGUAAGAAGUUGCUUCUUAUGGAUGAACAAAGAAACUGGUUUCUUGAAAUGGAAACUACUUGUAAUAAUGCUGUGAAAAUUGUUGAAAUGACAACAGUGUUUAGAAUAUUACAUACAUUUAGUUGAUAAAGCCAUGACAGGAUUUGACAGGAUUGGAUAUGAUUUUUUUUUUUUUUGAGACAGUGUCUUGCUCUGUCACCAGGCUGAAGUGCAGUGGCGUGAUCUCGGCUCACUGCAACCUCUGCCUCCCAGGUUCAAGCGAUUCUCCUGCCUCAGCCUCCCGAGUAGCUGGGACUACAGGUGGGUGCCACCACGCCCAGCUAAUUUUUGUAUUUUUAGUAGAGACGGGGUUUCACCAUGUUGGCUAGGAUGGUCUUGAUCUCUUGACCUCGUGAUCUGCCUGCCUCGGCCUCCCAAAAUGCUAGGAUUACAGGCGUAAGCCACUGCACCUGGCCAACUGAAUACAAUAUUUAAAGAAGUUCUACUGUGGGUAAAAUACUACCAAACAACAGCACAUGGUACAGAGAAAUAUUUCAGGAAAGAAAGAGUCAAUCAAUGAGGCAAACUUCACUGUUGUCUUAUUUUUAGGAACUACUACAGCCACCCCAACCUUGAGCAACCAUCACUCUGAUCAAUCAGCAGCCAUCAACAUUGAGACAAGACUCUCCACCAGCAAAAAGAUUAUGACUUGUCCGGGUGCGGUGGCUCACACCUGUAAUCCCAGCACUUUGGGAGGCUGAGGCAGACAGAUCAUCUGAGGUCAGGAGUUCGAGACCAGCCUGACCAACAUUGUGAAACCUGUCUCUACUAAAAAUACAAAAAAUUAGCCGGGCAUGGUGGUAGGCACCUAUAAUCUCAGCUAUUUGUAAGGCUGAAGCAGGAGAAUUGCUUGAACCUGGGAGGUGGAGGUUGCAGUGAGCCGAGAUCACAUCAUUGCACUCCAGCCUGGGCAACAAGAGCAAAACUCCGUCUAAAAAAAAUAUAUAUAUAUAUAUGACUCACUGAAGGCCCACAUGAUCAUUCGCAAUUUUUAGCCAUAACGUAUUUUUAAAAUUAAAGUAUAUACAUUGAUGUUUUAGACAUAAUGGCAUUGUACUCUUAUUAGACUACAGCAUAGGGUAAACAUAACUCCUCUAUGCACUGGGAAAUAAAAAAAUCUGUGACUCACUUUAUUGCGACAUUUGCUUUAGUGCGCCAGUUGGAACCAAGUCUGCAAUCUCCCAGAGUAUGCCUGUGUAUAGUAAUAAUAAUCACAUACAUGCCCUGAGGUGGUUGCAGGAUAAUGGGGCAGAUUUCAUGGUGGGCUUCCAGAAUUCAUUUUAUGUUUGUGGUUUGCUUCACAUGACUACACUUAUGAAUGGAAUCUCCAUGAGACAAGGGUCUUUGUUUCACUCCCUGCUGUGUCUGAACUCUUAGAAUGGUGCUCAGCACACACAAAGGGUGACUUGGUGGCUGAGUGCAUCUUCCCUAGUUCAUUUGUGUGUAUAUAUAUAUGAUAGUAGUUAUAUGGUGACAUGGGAAAGAACAUUGGGCAAGGAAGUAGAACUGGAUUUGAGCUCCGCCCUGAUUUACCUUACUAUUUGGGUGAACUUGGCCAGUUACUUUAAUCCUUAUGAGCCCCAAUUACCUCAUCUGUGGAAUGGAGCAGUUACUGUGCUCCCUCUCUGGGGUCUUAUAAGAAUUUAAUGCCAAUGGGCUGUGAGAGAGCUAUGUAAACUCUGAAGCGCAUUAUUUGAUUAAAAGCUCUGGCUCAUAUGGCUGCCUUAGUUGUAAGAAAUAGAAGCUUGCAAAGAAACAGCAGUGAGGUCUUACUAUCAGGAUGCACAUAGCAAAAAAGGAAGCUAAGACUCUGACUUGUCCUGAGAGCCUUCAAAGAGUUGAAGUGAGGCACAGUUCAGGGAUGGGAAGGUUCUGAGGCUUUUCUACUGACAGGAUCAUUUUGGGCCCUCAGUUGGAGUUUGCAGACAUACUAUUUUAAGGUAAUAUAACAUCUCCUAAUAUUUGCCUUUACCUUUCCUACUUUGAUUGACAUCCUUCCUGCCUCCGUUUCCUGCUCCCCUGUGUAUUUUUCUCCUCCUCAGGGCUCCUGCUUCUGCAUAACUUCAGCUUAGUUAUAGCCCUUAGGACUUAGGAUCUGUCCAGCAUGUAUUCCAGAUCAAAUUCCUAAGAGAUAAUCUGACAGGCUCCAUUGAUUCCAUUUUCUCUUUUUUAGCUGAGCUUUUUCCACCAGGAUGCCUCAUGGGUCAGUGUCCACCCUGGUUCAAUCACCUGUGGCUAGGGGAUAAGUCUGUGGCUUCACUGUACACUGUCUUGGAUCACUCACUCUUGGGAAACCAGCCACCAUGUUAUGAGGACACUCAAGUUCUCUGUGAAGAGAUCCAUGUGAUGAGGAACUGAGAUCUCCUGCCAACAGCCGGAACCAACUUUCCAGUCAUGAGUGAGAUCUUAAAAGUAGAUCCUCCAGCCCAUAGUGAAGCCUUCAGUUGGUUUAUCCCCAGCUGACACCCUGACUGCAACCUCAUCAGAAACCCUGAUCCAGAAUUUCCCAGCUAAGCUGUGCCUGAAUUCCAGACUCACAGAAACUGUGAGAGAUAAUAAAAAUUGAUUUAGGCCUCUAAGUUUUA